UACGUAGGGCGCAAGCGUUGUCCGGAAUUAUUGGGCGUAAAGAGCUCGUAGGCGGCUUGUCACGUCGGAUGUGAAAGCCCGAGGCUUAACCUCGGGUCUGCAUUCGAUACGGGCUAGCUAGAGUGUGGUAGGGGAGAUCGGAAUUCCUGGUGUAGCGGUGAAAUGCACAGAUAUCAGGAGGAACACCGGUGGCGAAGGCGGAUCUCUGGGCCAUUACUGACGCUGAGGAGCGAAAGCGUGGGGAGCGAACAGG
Molecule: ribosomal RNA, 253 nt
Filed under: uncultured bacterium
Lineage: Bacteria
Description: partial 16S ribosomal RNA
Rfam family: Bacterial small subunit ribosomal RNA
Source: RNAcentral